This 397-nucleotide ribosomal RNA is filed under the name uncultured bacterium. Its description in RNAcentral is "bacterial SSU rRNA". It matches the Rfam family "Bacterial small subunit ribosomal RNA", at positions 361 to 775 of the family's 1533-position model. The record is from RNAcentral.
AUAUUGGACAAUGGGCGAAAGCCUGAUCCAGCAAUGCCGCGUGAGUGAUGAAGGCCUUAGGGUUGUAAAGCUCUUUUACCCGGGAUGAUAAUGACAGUACCGGGAGAAUAAGCUCCGGCUAACUCCGUGCCAGCAGCCGCGGUAAUACGGAGGGAGCUAGCGUUGUUCGGAAUUACUGGGCGUAAAGCGCGCGUAGGCGGUUUCUCAAGUCAGAGGUGAAAGCCCGGGGCUCAACCCCGGAACUGCCAUUGAAACUAGGAGACUAGAAUCUUGGAGAGGUCAGUGGAAUUCCGAGUGUAGAGGUGAAAUUCGUAGAUAUUCGGAAGAACACCAGUGGCGAAGGCGACUGACUGGACAAGUAUUGACGCUGAGGUGCGAAAGCGUGGGGAGCAAACAG